UACGGAGGGUGCAAGCGUUAUCCGGAUUCACUGGGUUUAAGGGGUGCGUAGGCGGGUAGGUAAGUCAGUGGUGAAAUCUUCGAGCUUAACUCGGAAACUGCCUUUGAUACUAUCUAUCUUGAAUAUUGUGGAGGUAAGCGGAAUAUGUCAUGUAGCGGUGAAAUGCUUAGAUAUGACAUAGAACACCUAUUGCGAAGGCAGCUUACUACGCAUAUAUUGACGCUGAGGCACGAAAGCGCGGGGAUCAAACAGG
Molecule: ribosomal RNA, 253 nt
Filed under: uncultured bacterium
Lineage: Bacteria
Description: partial 16S ribosomal RNA
Rfam family: Bacterial small subunit ribosomal RNA
Source: RNAcentral